RNAcentral lists this ribosomal RNA (460 nucleotides) under uncultured bacterium. Its description in RNAcentral is "partial 16S ribosomal RNA". It matches the Rfam family "Bacterial small subunit ribosomal RNA", at positions 338 to 795 of the family's 1533-position model. The record is from RNAcentral.
CCUACGGGUGGCAGCAGUGAGGAAUAUUGGUCAAUGGACGAGAGUCUGAACCCGCCAAGUAGCGUGAAGGAUGACUGCCCUAUGGGUUGUAAACUUCUUUUAUAUGGGAAUAAAAUGUUCCACGUGUGGGAUUUUGUAUGUACCAUAUGAAUAAGGAUCGGCUAACUCCGUGCCAGCAGCCGCGGUAAUAAGGAGGAUCCGAGCGUUAUCCGGAUUUAUUGGGUUUAAAGGGAGCGUAGGUGGAUGGUUAAGUCAGUUGUGAAAGUUUGCGGCUCAACCGUAAAAUUGCAGUUGAAACUGGCAGUCUUGAGUACAGUAGAGGUGUGCGGAAUUCGUGGUGUAGCGGUGAAAUGCUUAGAUAUCACGAAGAACUCCGAUUGCGAAGGCAGUUCACUGGACUUCAACUGACACUGAGGCUCGAAAGUGUGGGUAUCAAACAGGAUUAGAUACCCGGGUAGUC